This 430-nucleotide ribosomal RNA is filed under the name Bacillota bacterium. RNAcentral describes it as "Firmicutes bacterium partial 16S ribosomal RNA". It matches the Rfam family "Bacterial small subunit ribosomal RNA", at positions 355 to 776 of the family's 1533-position model. Lineage: Bacteria; Bacillati; Bacillota. The record is from RNAcentral.
UAGGGAAUCUUCCGCAAUGGACGAAAGUCUGACGGAGCGACGCCGCGUGAGCGAAGAAGGUCUUCGGAUCGUAAAGCUCUGUUGUUAGGGAAGAAGAAGUGCCGUUCGAACAGGGCGGCACGGUGACGGUACCUAACGAGAAAGCCCCGGCUAACUACGUGCCAGCAGCCGCGGUAAUACGUAGGGGGCGAGCGUUGUCCGGAAUUAUUGGGCGUAAAGCGCGCGCAGGCGGUCCCUUAAGUCUGAUGUGAAAGCCCACGGCUUAACCGUGGAGGGUCAUUGGAAACUGGGGGACUUGAGUGCAGAAGAGGAGAGCGGAAUUCCACGUGUAGCGGUGAAAUGCGUAGAGAUGUGGAGGAACACCAGUGGCGAAGGCGGCUCGCUGGUCUGUAACUGACGCUGAGGCGCGAAAGCGUGGGGAGCAAACAGG